This 443-nucleotide ribosomal RNA is filed under the name uncultured bacterium. RNAcentral describes it as "partial 16S ribosomal RNA". It matches the Rfam family "Bacterial small subunit ribosomal RNA", at positions 338 to 795 of the family's 1533-position model. The record is from RNAcentral.
CCUACGGGAGGCAGCAGUGGGGAAUAUUGGGCAAUGGGCGCAAGCCUGACCCAGCAAAGCCGCGUGAAGGAAUAAGGCCCUCGGGUUGUAAACUUCUUUUAUCAGGGACGAAACAAAUGACGGUACCUGAUGAUUAAGCUACGGCUAACUACGUGCCAGCCGCCGCGGUAAUACGGAGGUGGCAAGCGUUAUCCGGAUUUACUGGGUGUAAAGGGCGUGUAGGCGGGAGAGCAAGUCAGACGUGAAAUUCCAGGGCUCAACCCUUGCACGGCGUUUGAAACUGUUCGUAUUGAGGGGUGGAGAGGCAGGCGGAAUUCCGGGUGUAGCGGUGAAAUGCGUAGAUAGACGGAGGAACACCAGUUGCGAAGGCGGCCUGCUGGACAUUAACUGACGCUGAGGCGCGAAAGCGUGGGGAGCAAACAGGAUUAGAUACCCCAGUAGUC